This 387-nucleotide ribosomal RNA is filed under the name uncultured bacterium. Its description in RNAcentral is "bacterial SSU rRNA". It matches the Rfam family "Bacterial small subunit ribosomal RNA", at positions 137 to 512 of the family's 1533-position model. The record is from RNAcentral.
UGGGGGACUAACGUUUCGAAAGAAUCGCUAAUACCGCAUACGAUCCUAAAGGAGAAAGCGGGGGACCUUCAGGCCUCUGCGCUAUCAGAUCAGCCUAUGUCUGAUUAGCUAGUUGGUGAGGUAAUGGCUCACCAAGGCGACGAUCCGUAACUGGUCUGAGAGGAUGAUCAGUCACACUGGGACUGAGACACGGUCCAGACUCCUACGGGAGGCAGCAGUGGGGAAUUUUGGACAAUGGGCGAAAGCCUGAUCCAGCCAUGCCGCGUGUGUGAAGAAGGUCUUCGGAUUGUAAAGCACUUUAGUUCGGGAAGAAAGGCCAUUAACCUAAUACGGUGGGUGGUGAUGACGGUAUCGGACAGAAUAAGCACCGGCUAACUCUGUGCCAGC